Molecule: ribosomal RNA, 253 nt
Filed under: Lachnospira eligens
Lineage: Bacteria; Bacillati; Bacillota; Clostridia; Lachnospirales; Lachnospiraceae
Description: partial 16S ribosomal RNA
Rfam family: Bacterial small subunit ribosomal RNA
Source: RNAcentral
UACGUAUGGAGCAAGCGUUAUCCGGAUUUACUGGGUGUAAAGGGAGUGUAGGUGGCUAUGCAAGUCAGAAGUGAAAAUCCGGGGCUCAACCCCGGAACUGCUUUUGAAACUGUAAGGCUAGAGUGCAGGAGGGGUGAGUGGAAUUCCUAGUGUAGCGGUGAAAUGCGUAGAUAUUAGGAGGAACACCAGUGGCGAAGGCGGCUCACUGGACUGUAACUGACACUGAGGCUCGAAAGCGUGGGGAGCAAACAGG